RNA transcript from Gossypium raimondii (Peruvian cotton), 2276 nucleotides. It is a transcript of the gene named probable serine/threonine-protein kinase PBL7, with no coding region annotated. The record is from RefSeq and is a predicted model, not a curated record. Lineage: Eukaryota; Viridiplantae; Streptophyta; Magnoliopsida; Malvales; Malvaceae. The transcript is spliced from 7 exons.
AACAUCCAUGAAUGGUCCACAGUAAACGUUUACUGAGAAAAAAAAAACAUUUUUCAAAAGUAAAGCUUGUUUCUUUUUGUAUUGAAGCUUAUGAAAUCUUCAUCAAAAUUUCUUUAAUUUUCUGGGUGUUUUUAAGGUAAUUCAAGAGAUGGGUUCAUAUUGUUUUAAUCUUUUUGAUUGAUUUUUGAUAGCCUUAAAGUUGAUUUAGAAGUAAAGAAAGAAGAAGAAGACUUAUGGGGUGGCUUCCUUGUUCUGGGAAAUCAAAUACCAAAGCUAAUAAAUCCAAGAAAAAGAAAAAAAUGGAAGAGAUGGCACUUGAUCGGCUCAAACCCACUUCAGAAAAAUCGAAAACGGAUUCAUCGUCAAGUGGGGAGACGUCAAACAGAGGAGGAAGUGAACAUAUUGCUGCACAGACUUUUCCGUUUCGUGAAUUGGCAAUGGCAACUAAGAAUUUUAGUUCAGAGUGCCUUUUGGGAGAAGGAGGUUUUGGUCGAGUGUACAAAGGGCGUUUGGAGAGCAUAAAUCAGAUUGUUGCUAUAAAGCAACUUGAUAGAAAUGGGUUGCAAGGAAACAGGGAAUUCCUUGUUGAGGUUCUAAUGCUAAGCCUUCUUCAUCAUCCAAACCUUGUUAAUCUCACUGGAUACUGUGCUGAUGGAGAUCAAAGGCUUCUGGUUUACGAAUAUAUGCCUUUAGGUUCUCUUGAAGACCAUUUACAUGACAUUUCACCUAGUAAGAAAAGACUUGAUUGGAGUACAAGAAUGAAAAUAGCUGCUGGGGCUGCAAAGGGAUUGGAGUAUUUGCAUGAUAAAGCAAGUCCCCCAGUUAUAUACAGAGAUUUGAAAUGCUCCAACAUUUUACUUGCUGAAGGGUAUUUUCCCAAGUUAUCUGAUUUUGGCUUGGCCAAGCUUGGACCUGUUGGAGAUAACACCCAUGUAUCUACAAGGGUUAUGGGAACUUAUGGAUAUUGUGCCCCGGAGUAUGCAAUGACUGGUCAGUUAACUGUGAAAUCUGAUGUUUAUAGCUUUGGAGUUGUUCUUCUAGAAAUCAUAACCGGGAGGAAAGCCAUUGAUAAUUCUAAAGCUUCUGGGGAACAGAAUCUAGUUGCAUGGGCAAGGCCAUUAUUCAAAGACAGAAAAAUGUUCUCUCAAAUGGCUGAUCCAAUGCUCCAAGGUCAAUAUCCUCCAAGGGGUUUAUUCCAAGCACUUGCAGUGGCAGCAAUGUGUGUUCAAGAGCAACCAAAUAUGAGACCUCUCAUUGCUGAUGUAGUCACAGCUUUGACUUACCUUGCUUCUCAAAAAUUCAAACCAGAUACACAGCCAAUACAAGGUUCUCGCUUGAUGCCUGGUACUCCACCUCGGACAAAGAGAGACAGAGAUAAGAAGCUCAAUGGUGGCAACAGUUCCGAAAGGGAUCGGACAAGGAGGUUAAGUUGAUACCUGCUGAGGUUCAUCAUCACCAUCUGGGUCUUUUUUGGGAUCUUCCAACUGUUGAUAGAUGCUGAUAUUUACCUUGAUUUUGUCCCGCAAGCCAAGUCCAAAUGACAAUAUCCCUCCUCCCUUUCGUCCAGAAUUGGCUCGUUGAGUCCUACAAAAGACAACAAGAAAAGAAGAGAGAACCUGAAGCUCGGCAUUUGCUUCUCUCAAGGCAGCUGCUUCUUUCUCUGCUUUUUUGCGAGCUUCUUCGACAAUCCUUUGCUCCUGCUCCAGCUGCUCUAAAACCUGUAGCACAGAGAAUCUAAAAAUCACUAGAGGACUUGUAAGAGAAUAAUAAUUUAGCAAUAGUUCCAGAAAAAAUGCAUUCAAGAAGAGGCAGGUUAUACCUUAAGCAUUGCAGCUUCUUGCUCUCUCUUAAAAGCAAGAGCUUGGUGUUGAUCAGCCACCUCUUGCUCUAACUGUUCAAUCUGCAGCAUUAUCAACAAACCUCAAAUCCUGCAAGCAACUUCAGUAACCCAAAGCUCACAGAACAGUGGAAGUAUUUCGUUGAAUCAAUUAUAUGCUUGGCGGGUUUAGCAUAUUCAUAUAAAAAGUUUUACAUAUACCUUUUCAUUCAGUUCUUGUCGAUUAUCUUCUUUGGUCAACUCCAUAAGUGCUAUCUCAAGCUCAUCAGCUCUGGAAAAGAACAGGACCCACAGUUACACGUAAAUGAUAAGUUAUAGAGGUUCGCAGAAAUAUCAGAAACAAUUCAUGGCAAGAAAACAUGAACAUUGUCAUAAGGGAUCCAUUCCUAAUUUUGAAGUAGAAUGCUAAUUAUAAUUCCAUCAGAUGCACUUUUGUCCA